RNAcentral lists this transfer RNA (75 nucleotides) under Candidatus Peregrinibacteria bacterium. RNAcentral describes it as "tRNA-Cys". It matches the Rfam family "tRNA". From Rfam's summary of the family: Transfer RNA (tRNA) molecules are approximately 80 nucleotides in length. Their secondary structure includes four short double-helical elements and three loops (D, anti-codon, and T loops). The record is from RNAcentral. RNAcentral also lists the same sequence under 1 other name. Lineage: Bacteria; Candidatus Peregrinibacteriota.
GGCAAGGUGGCGGAGCGGUUACGCAGCGGUUUGCAAAACCGUACCACACGGGUUCGAAUCCCGUCCUUGCCUCCA